CGCUCCGCCGCCGCCGACCCCCGCUCCACUUACCUUUCGUAUCCUUGUCUCAUGAAAAAAACUUACCUUUCAUAUCCGGCAAGGACAAGGCCCCGCCCGCCGCCACCGCCUCCGCCUCGGCUAUAAAGUUCCACCCUUUGGCCGGCCCGCUCCUCCUCUCUUCGUCCGGGCAGCGCCUCUUGCCUCCUUCAUUCGUCCUCGGCCCGUCCUGGCCGCGUGGUGGUCUCCGUUCCGGUCGCCGAUUCCAAAUCCACCCGCCCGCGUGCCCUUCUCCCUCUCCGCCUGCGGGGCUCGGCCAAGUGUGGCGGGCGACCGGCGGCGGGGGCACCAGCGUCGUGCGCCAGCUGCGCGCGCUCGUCCUCGAUUCGUGCCUCUCCUCCUCUGGUGUCUGGUGAGGCGACUUGUCCUCAAUUCUUGCCUCUCCUCUCGCCUGGCUCAAUUCGUCCUCGCUCGUCCUAUGUUGCUCGUCCUCGCUCGAUUCGUCCGUUUAGAGUAGAAGAAUCGCGUAUGAUUUGUUUCAUUUUGCUCAUCCUCGAUUUGUCUAUUCUGAAGCGCGUCUAAUUUGGUUGAUUUUGCUCGUCCUCGUUGUCGGCCGUUUAGAUAGAAAAUCGCGUCCGGUUUGAUUUGCUUGUCCUCACCGUCGUCGUCCAGUCGCGUGUGAUUUGAUUCUUGCUCGUCCUCGCCGUUGUCCCGCGUGUUCUUGGGGCUGUCUCGUCGGGGGUCUCCGUCCCUGCGACUCUGGGAGGAAGCGAGAGAGCGCGGUAUUUGGGUCACCAUCUAGUUUGUCAGCUAACAAGUCUGUUUGAGAAACUUGUGCGUGUGCUUUUGUUAUCUGACGAUCCUGCGUAUCGUUUCUGUUUGAGAAAUUUGUGUGUGCGCUUCUGUUAUCUGAUGAUCCUACGUUUCGUGUUCGCGUCGGGGCGACCGUUGCAGGAAUGAUGGGUUCUGGUUUCGAAAUUGGAGCGGUGUCAAAUCGGUUCCUCUGUUCUAUCACCUGCGUUGUUCGUCGGUUAUUUUCGGGUCUCAAACGCAUGCGCCCUUGUGAUACUUUGGUUGCCCUCUGUCGAUUCUUGUUCUACCAGCAGGCGUGUGUGUUCUCAUCCUAGAUAUACCUAAUCUUGUUCUUGUCUGUUACGGUUGUUCUGAUGGUGUUCUUUUCAACUUGUUUCUUGCUAUCAUGCUUUGCUUAUGUUCCAAUAUAUGAUGAUGUGUGUUCAACUUGUUUCUUGUUAUCAUGCUUUGCUUAUGUUCCACUAUAUGACCGUGUUCAGGGGCGCAAACCAUGUAGGCCGUGGGUACCGUGAUGUGAGGCUUCUCUCUUGCUGAUAAAUUAGGAUGAUAGGCUGAGCAGAGAAGCUUGACUCUUGUAACAAUCACUUGCUUGGUUUCCACUUCUUUGCGUGACCGAUUUGGCAUCAAAUGCAGCAUAAUCACGUUUUCCCUGUUUGUUUUCAUACCCAAUGCAUCCACUCAUCAGAGCACCCUUUUCCAUGUUUGUUUUUCCUUCUUUUCCUAAUCAAUUAUCAUGUUUACCAUGGUGUGUGACAAUACUGCGUUUCUACUGUUGUUCUUUGUUCCCUUUUGAAGUUCACUGAUUCAAAUCUGAUGUGGAAGGUAGGAAUAUUGAUAUCACUUGUUGUUAGUAUACUAGCCAUGGUGUGUUUUAUUCAAGUUAUUAACCAUAUCUCUUAAAAAUUUGCCUUGAGAUGCUACAUGUUUAUAUGGCAUGAUUGAUUGCUGUUUGUGUAUGGUUAUUAAGAUUGAUUGAUUGCUUGCUUGCUAUUUGUUGAUUGAUUGAUUGAUUGUUGUUUGUUGUUUGUUGAUUGAUUGAUUGUUAUUUGUUGAUUGGUAUCUAACUUUGGUAUUGGUAGUUCCCAAUCAUAGAUAACAGACCUUGCACUAUUCUUUUUUCUGAACUUUUUUGUGAUUAUGUCUUAUGUGGAUAUCAUAUUCUCUUUUUGGUAUUAUGUCCUUGGAAUAAUGCAUUUCUAAGUAUUUAAGGUACAUGACGUAUCACAUUUGCUCUUUAUUGUGUAUCUAAGGACACUGAUGGGUUGAGUUGGCAUAUAACGCAGAUAUUGGCACCUGAUAUUUGCAUGGAUGUUUCCAUGAUGGCUAAUUUGAUUCAUUACUGUUGUUCUGAUGGUGUGCUUCUGGUGUUUUACUGAAGUCGUAGAUCGCUCAUCAACCUGCUGAGCUCUUUCUGGAUAGGACAGAGGUACAAUAUUUACAUCCAUGGCAGAAGGUUCUUAACAAUGAACUCAUCAGAGGUCCUUGGACUCAAGAGGAAGAUGACAAAAUUAUUGUUCUUGUAAGAAAGUAUGGACCAACAAAAUGGUCUCAUUGCAAGGACCUGCAGAAGGAACCUCCCACCUCACGCAGCACAGAAGCAACUUUAUCUUUGGUAAUUGAGGGAGUCCUGGAUUAGGGGGUGUCCGGAUGGCCGGACUAUACUUUCAGCCGGACUCCUGGACUAUGAAGAUACAAGAUUGAAGACUUCGUCCCGUGUCCGGAAGGG
Molecule: non-coding RNA, 2518 nt
Organism: Triticum urartu
Lineage: Eukaryota; Viridiplantae; Streptophyta; Magnoliopsida; Poales; Poaceae
Source: RefSeq, a predicted model, not a curated record